Long non-coding RNA from Gorilla gorilla gorilla (western lowland gorilla), 716 nucleotides. RefSeq lists it as uncharacterized. NCBI's taxonomy places the organism in Eukaryota, Metazoa, Chordata, Mammalia, Primates, Hominidae. The transcript has 3 exons. The record is from RefSeq and is a predicted model, not a curated record.
UCGAACUCCUGACCUCAGGUGAUCCACCCACCUCAGCCUCCCAAAGUGCUGGGAUUACAGGCAUGAGCCGCCAUGCCUGGCCCCUUCUUUUCCAACCUCCUGCCUAUUCUUCUCCUCCAUGAAGCCCUCCUGAUUUGAAACCCUUGGCUCCCCUUUUCUUGGUUUCUUCCUGCACUCAACAAGCCCCUCCAGCAAUUCCUAAAUCAGGUCCUGGUGUGACUCUCUUCUCUCUCAUCGGACUAGGGGAACAGGCCUGUGUCUCCUCCCUCUGAACUGCCAACUACUAACCCCCACCAUACCCAUUGUCUCCACACCACCUCCCAUGCCCCCUGAAGACUCAGACCCAAAACAGAUCUGUAAAGCAUGUGCGUGUGACCAUGGGAACCCGGGAGUCCUGUCUCCUCUUCAUCCACAGAAAUUUCCACAGAAGCCCCACGGAUUCCCAUUUCAGAGUCUUCGACAUGUUGCCAUAAAUUGUCUUCUGAGGAGGAAGCCAGAUCUCAAGUUCUAGCAGUGAAGCUUCAGAGAAGAGGCUGGGAUAGCCAGCUUCCUGGAGUCCCACAGAAGCUCUUCUCAGCCUUUGAGGCCUCCUUCAAGAAGCCCUGUUCUUUGAAGCUCAGGAAACUCAUUGAAAAAAAAAAAAGAAAUCCUGUUCUGCCCCAAAGCCCCUUCUGCAAGGUGUGCACUGAGCAUUAGGCUUCCCAGCACUGAGUACA